This 253-nucleotide ribosomal RNA is filed under the name uncultured bacterium. RNAcentral describes it as "partial 16S ribosomal RNA". It matches the Rfam family "Bacterial small subunit ribosomal RNA", at positions 524 to 776 of the family's 1533-position model. The record is from RNAcentral.
UACGGAGGGGGCAAGCGUUAUUCGGAAUUAUUGGGCGUAAAGGGCGCGUAGGCGGCUAGAUGUGUCAAAGGUGAAAUCCCUCGGCUCAACUGAGGAACUGCCUUUGAAACUGUCUGGCUUGAGGCCGGGAGAGGGUAGCGGAAUUCCCAGUGUAGCGGUGAAAUGCGUAGAGAUGUGGAGGAACACCAGUGGCGAAGGCGGCUUUCUGGUCUGUAACUGACGCUGAGGCGCGAAAGCGUGGGGAGCAAACAGG